GGGACCAUGGCGCAGCUGGUUAGCGCGCAGGUCUCAUAUUCUCACAUAUGAUCUGGUUGAACACUAGAGCAAUCCUGAGGUCGUGAGUUCGAUCCUCACUGGUCCCA
RNAcentral lists this transfer RNA (107 nucleotides) under Lasiosphaeria miniovina. It matches the Rfam family "tRNA". Rfam says of the family: Transfer RNA (tRNA) molecules are approximately 80 nucleotides in length. Their secondary structure includes four short double-helical elements and three loops (D, anti-codon, and T loops). Lineage: Eukaryota; Fungi; Ascomycota; Sordariomycetes; Sordariales; Lasiosphaeriaceae. The record is from Rfam by way of RNAcentral.